Molecule: long non-coding RNA, 638 nt
Organism: Ictalurus punctatus (channel catfish)
Lineage: Eukaryota; Metazoa; Chordata; Actinopteri; Siluriformes; Ictaluridae
Source: Ensembl
UUGAAAGAGCGCUCAUUUCUUUACCACGUUAAAAGGGCUGCAACAUGUAGAAGCUGGAGUUCAAGAAUAUCUCGUGCAAAAGCAACAACUUCAAAUUUUGUUCGACACUUAAACCCCCGCAGCACGGGGAGAACAUGCAAGCUCCACAAACACAGGACCACGGUGGGAAUCGAAUCAUAAGUUGCGAUGGAACUGAACAGGAAACAUGGCGAGCACAUCACACACGACACUGCUGCCAAACUUAUUUACGGAUUCAAAAAGACUGGAACUGUUGCGGAUCGACCGAGAAGAACUGGACGUCCACUGAGCAUGAACAUCCACUGACGAAGAGAAGAAUGUCCUGACAAUAAGAUUUUAACAGUGGAGUAUCCGUGUAUCAGAGCAGGAGGAGAGCGUGGCACAUGCCUCAGGAGGAAGUGCUGUAAAGGUUUCAGGUUCGUCAUGGGCCAGUGUGUACCAGAAAGUAGGUAAAAUCUUGUUUUGUUUUAUUUUUUAAAUUCUCAUCAGCUUUUUAAAUUCACACACUCUGCGGUUAUUAAAACUGAUUAACUACAUGUUCUCAGUUCGUUUCAUUAUAUUUCAUUAUAUUUGAUCAAUCGACCUUUUAAAUAAAGUACUUUCAGUGCGGUAUCAGGUCG